RNAcentral lists this ribosomal RNA (402 nucleotides) under uncultured bacterium. RNAcentral's name for it is "bacterial SSU rRNA". It matches the Rfam family "Bacterial small subunit ribosomal RNA", at positions 29 to 417 of the family's 1533-position model. The record is from RNAcentral.
AACGAACGUUGGCGGCGUGGAUGAGGCAUGCAAGUCGAACGCGAAAGCCGCAAGGCGAGUAAAGUGGCGGACGGGCGAGUAACACGUAAUCAAGCUACCUGCGAGACGGGGAUAACUUCGGGAAACCGAAGCUAAGACCCGAUGGUCUUCUAGGAACGCAUGUUCCAUGAAGUAAAUGGGCGGGAUCCUCCGGGAUCGCCUGCUCGCAGAGGUGAUUGCGGCCCACCAGCUAGUUGGUAGGGUAAUGGCCUACCAAGGCAACGACGGGUAGCCGGCCUUAGAGGGUGGUCGGCCGCACUGGGACUGAGACACUGCCCAGACUCCUACGGGAGGCUGCAGUCGAGAAUCUUCCGCAAUGGGCGAAAGCCUGACGGAGCGACGCCGCGUGGGUGAUGAAGGCCU